Molecule: unclassified non-coding RNA, 416 nt
Filed under: uncultured fungus
Lineage: Eukaryota; Fungi
Description: partial contains small subunit ribosomal RNA, internal transcribed spacer 1, and 5.8S ribosomal RNA
Rfam family: Eukaryotic small subunit ribosomal RNA (bases 1-73)
Source: RNAcentral
ACAAACUUGGUCAUUUAGAGGAAGUAAAAGUCGUAACAAGGUUUCCGUAGGUGAACCUGCGGAAGGAUCAUCAUUGAAUAAUAUAUUUUUCAAGCUUUGGAGGGGGAAGGGGAAGAGAGAAAACUCUCUUCUCUUUCGUUCUUCUGGCUUGCAAACAAACAACUUUGAUACCCAAAAAGAGUCGCAUUCUUUCCUGCGCUUGUCUUUGGUCUUUUGCAGCUUUUCCCGGCCUAUUUACUUGGGUUGGUUGCUGUGGGAGACGGGAGAGAAGAGGGGAAGGGAGGGGGAAACAAAAACCCCCCAGACGGAAUAACACAUGUAGUUGCCUGAUAAAAAAAGAGUUUGGUUUGAGAAUGGAAAAUGAAACAACUUUCAACAACGGAUCUCUUGGCUCUCACAUCGAUGAAGAACGCAGC